RNAcentral lists this small RNA (541 nucleotides) under Pan troglodytes (chimpanzee). Its description in RNAcentral is "processed transcript". The record is from RNAcentral. Lineage: Eukaryota; Metazoa; Chordata; Mammalia; Primates; Hominidae.
AUUAUUGAAAAGGGCAAUAGGAUCUUGGAAGGGGGAGAACACAGUAUAAAGCGACACAAACGCUGCAGAGGCACUGGGCCUGCAAGCUUCGCAUGGGGGAGCUGGAAAUCCCUGACAACUGCACAAUCUUGCGUGUGGAUUUCAACAUCCCAAAGCAACCAGAUUCCUGGUGUGGCUGGACUCGGGGAUAAGGUGCUGCGAAAGACAGGUUUGAAGCAGAAAGACCAAGAAAACACUCAUCUGAGCCAGCCCCGGGCGCUGCAUAACAACCGUGGGCAGGCCCUCCACCCUGUCUGGGCGGAUUCUGGACAGUCGGCGGUGACCCGGAGGAAGAAGGGAAAGGUCGUCGAGGGGGCGGAGCCUGAACCGGUGCUUGGGCGGGGCCAGAAGGUGGAGGCCGCUUUGGAAGCCGGGCCAGGAUUGACUUCUAAAGACUCUUGGUACGUGAGGAAGAAACCUGGAAGAGGAAGAGGAAAGCAAAGGAGUCAGGGAUGGCUCUUCCUCAGAUUGUCAGGGGAGUGUUCAUUGGCAGCACCUGCCU